RNAcentral lists this ribosomal RNA (833 nucleotides) under uncultured fungus. Its description in RNAcentral is "eukaryotic LSU rRNA". It matches the Rfam family "Eukaryotic large subunit ribosomal RNA", at positions 24 to 664 of the family's 3401-position model. Lineage: Eukaryota; Fungi. The record is from RNAcentral.
CCCGCUGAACUUAAGCAUAUUAUUAAGCGGAGGAAAAGAAACUAACAAGGAUGCCCUCAGUAACGGCGAGUGAAGCGGGCAAAGCUCAACCUGAAAAUCAAUUUCCUCUUACCGGGAUAUUGAAUUGUGGGGUAGAGACGCAAGAUCAGUGUGUACACCAGAUAUAAAUCUCUUUGAAACGAGGUAUCAUAGAGGGUGAGAAUCCCGUCUUUGAUCUGGUUGCGAUACGCGUACGAUCUGUGUUCAUAGAGUCGCGUUGUUUGGGAUUGCAGCGCUAAAUGGGUGGUAAAUUUCAUCUAAAGCUAAAUAUCGACGAGAGACCGAUAGCGAACAAGUACCGUGAGGGAAAGAUGAAAAGAACUUUGAAAAGAGAGUUAAAAAGUACUUGAAAUUGCUAAGAGGGAAGCACUGAAAACCAGUAGUAAUAAGAAUGAACUCGCGUGUAUAUUUACCCUUCGCUACGGGAUCACCGUUACCCAGAGUGUUUCGCGACCUGCUGGGGACGAUGUGUAUCGUGCGGGGGGGCCCUGUACUGCGACGUUCGGUCAACAUGAAUUUCAUUCGCACUGAUAGAAAGCUAUUACAACGGUAGGAUUCUCGGUAGCAAUAUCAAGGGUCUGUUUAGUGUAGUAGUUCAUUAAUAUCAUGGAUGAGAUUGAGGAAACGAAAGGCGCACCACAAGGUUAGCGAUUGGCGUUGUUGCCUGGUGGAUCAGAGUCCGUGGACAACAAAGUUGUGCUGGACUUGAAGUCCUCUACUGCAGCAUGCACAGUCAGCAGCAGCCUUAGAGAUGUUUGACUAAAUGGUUUUCAUUGACCCGUCUUGAAACACGG